Molecule: ribosomal RNA, 1092 nt
Filed under: Salmonella enterica
Lineage: Bacteria; Pseudomonadati; Pseudomonadota; Gammaproteobacteria; Enterobacterales; Enterobacteriaceae
Description: bacterial LSU rRNA
Rfam family: Bacterial large subunit ribosomal RNA
Source: RNAcentral
CAUCCUCCAAGGCUAAAUACUCCUGACUGACCGAUAGUGAACCAGUACCGUGAGGGAAAGGCGAAAAGAACCCCGGCGAGGGGAGUGAAAAAGAACCUGAAACCGUGUACGUACAAGCAGUGGGAGCCCCACCACCAAAGCAUUCUCUGGUGUUGAAGGCCCUGCAAAGCAGCAUCGCGGUGGCGGAGCGUCGUUUGCGACGCCCAACACACAAAACAAGCGGUGAGUGCUUUGGGGUGGGGUGACUGCGUACCUUUUGUAUAAUGGGUCAGCGACUUAUAUUCUGUAGCAAGGUUAACCGUAUAGGGGAGCCGUAGGGAAACCGAGUCUUAACCGGGCGUUAAGUUGCAGGGUAUAGACCCGAAACCCGGUGAUCUAGCCAUGGGCAGGUUGAAGGUUGGGUAACACUAACUGGAGGACCGAACCGACUAAUGUUGAAAAAUUAGCGGAUGACCUGUGGCUGGGGGUGAAAGGCCAAUCAAACCGGGAGAUAGCUGGUUCUCCCCGAAAGCUAUUUAGGUAGCGCCUCGUGAACUCAUCUCCGGGGGUAGAGCACUGUUUCGGCUAGGGGGUCAUCCCGACUUACCAACCCGAUGCAAACUGCGAAUACCGAAGAAUGUUAUCACGGGAGACACACGGCGGGUGCUAACGUCCGUCGUGAAGAGGGAAACAACCCAGACCGCCAGCUAAGGUCCCAAAGUCAUGGUUAAGUGGGAAACGAUGUGGGAAGGCCCAGACAGCCAGGAUGUUGGCUUAGAAGCAGCCAUCAUUUAAAGAAAGCGUAAUAGCUCACUGGUCGAGUCGGCCUGCGCGGAAGAUGUAACGGGGCUAAACCAUGCACCGAAGCUGCGGCAGCGACGCUGAUGCGUUGUUGGGUAGGGGAGCGUUCUGUAAGCCUGUGAAGGUGGCCUGUGAGGGAUGCUGGAGGUAUCAGAAGUGCGAAUGCUGACAUAAGUAACGAUAAUGCGGGUGAAAAGCCCGCUCGCCGGAAGACCAAGGGUUCCUGUCCAACGUUAAUCGGGGCAGGGUGAGUCGACCCCUAAGGCGAGGCCGAAAGGCGUAGUCGAUGGGAAACGGGUUAAUAUUCCCGUA